GGUGCCAUGGUCUAGUGGUAUGACGCUACAUUGUGGUGAGCUACGUUGUGGAAACACAACUGCGCACAGCAAAUCUGUAUCAGCCCCAGUUCGAUUCCGGGUGGCGCCA
Molecule: transfer RNA, 109 nt
Filed under: Penicillium vulpinum
Lineage: Eukaryota; Fungi; Ascomycota; Eurotiomycetes; Eurotiales; Aspergillaceae
Rfam family: tRNA
About the family: Transfer RNA (tRNA) molecules are approximately 80 nucleotides in length.
Source: Rfam by way of RNAcentral